Molecule: long non-coding RNA, 1888 nt
Filed under: Vulpes vulpes (red fox)
Lineage: Eukaryota; Metazoa; Chordata; Mammalia; Carnivora; Canidae
Description: lncRNA (ENSVVUG00000029111.1)
Source: RNAcentral
AUGCGGCAGGAAGGCCUGCUCACAGAGAUGAAAGCCCCUUUGCCAGGCGAGGAGACUCAGCCGAACACGGUGCUGAUCAGCAAACACCAUUUAUUACCUCUGCUGCUCCUGGAGCUCCGUUCUCCGAGACAGAUAAUGCCCCUUAUCUCAGCCUGGAGAGCCGGGUGGGGGAAGGCCCAGAAAGCUGAUCCCUGCUUGGGUGAUAAGGAUUUGCCAGCGCCAGCCCCCGCAGCCUUGAGCAAACACAGCGCCAGGGGCACGCAUGGCAUUUGCAUAGGGAAUUUUACAAAGUGCGGCUGGGGGAGGCUCUGUGGAGCCCCCGGCAGAGGACGCAGAGGACGCAGAGGACACACGCUGUGGACGCCUCGUGGUCCAGGCCUCGCCUCCGCCUCUGCCUCCGCAAGCGACCUUGAGCAAGUCAGGUGACAUCCCCGGGCCUCCUUCACCCCAUCUGCUCAACGGGGGCACGGCCCAGACUAGGGGCUUUCAAAGUGCCUUCCUUGGGCCCCCAAAGUUCCCUGGAGGGGCUGUAGGGGCAUCACUGAUGGGGAGGGAGCGAGGGGGGUCCUGGCCCUGAUCCCCAGCGGCAUCCAGACUGCACACUUUGACCUGCUCCAUGUGUGAUGUCAUUUCAACAAUGGGUUUCACCACUUCCCAGGAAGCAGUGGAAAGCCUAGACUAGAGGAGCCGUGAAGCCCCUUCUAGGAGACUAAGGGGGUGAGGCUGGGGGACAGGGAGGUGGGAUGGAGGGCUGCAGGAUGGGGAGGGGGGCAGGAUUCAGAGAGAAUGUGGCCCCACCUGGCACAGCUUCUCAUACCAACCCACUUCACCUCCUUCCACCCCAGUGCCUCCCCUGUGGCUUCUUCCUUUGAAAAAUCCAUUACCUGCCCCCCCAGGUGGUCUGGCCCAGCAACAGGGAGUAUGGGGGUGGGAAGAGGGGGGAGGGUGCUAACCCAGAAAGCUGAGCUGCAGGGGCAAGGAGCAUGAGGCAGCCGGUGGAUGGGUACAGCAGGAACGAGGUCCGGCUACCAACCGGGUCCCCCCUCUUCCCAGCCGGCGAUCUGGGGCAAACCUCCACCUCUCUGAGCCUGUUUCCUCCCCUGUAAAUAAUGAGGUUGCAUACAGUGCCUCCCCCAUAGAAUUGUGAGAACCAAAUUAGCAAGGAGCUGGAACAGAACAGGUGCACGUGAAGAGAAAUAACAGAAGCUCAGCUAUGGUCUCUGACCCCAGAGCAUUGGCAGAACAGGGUCCCCCUCGGUACCCCUGGGCCUGGUGAGGGGACAGGGGAUGUGGAGGUGGGGCAGGGAUGGCAGUACCGAGCACUCCUUCAGUGUCUCUGCAGGUCCUCCAAAACCCCCCCUCCCCAGCCCCUCUCCAGCCACUGAGACUUCCAGCAGGUUCGUGCAGGAGGACGCUGACCUCCUCCUGUGCCCCUCCUGUGGAGCUGCUGCAGGACUCAGAGGCACGGCCAGAAGUGGGGGGACCUAGCACCCCUGGGAAUAGAGUCCGGGAGAGUAAGCACUCAGUACACCUUGGCUAUUCUUUUUUAGAGGGAGGGGCAGAGGGAGAGAAAAAGAGAAUCUUGAGCAGUCUCCACGCCCAGCAAGGAGCCCAACGCGGGGCUCAGUCUCAUGACCCUGAGACCACGAGCUGAGCCGAAAUCAAGAGUCGGAUGCUCAACUGACUGAGCCACCCAGGCGCCCAGCCCCCAUAUUAGCUGCUAUUUGGGGUUCUAACCAAGGAUUCCUACCCAAGGCUACCUAAGGCCACCAGGGGAGCCAGUAGGAUCAGAAAUGCAAGGGGAGGGGUGGGGCGCCUGGCUGGCUCAGUCGGCAGAGCCUGCAACUCUUGAAAUAAAAAAUAAAUGAAAAAAAAGAAAAAAAGGGAU